UGAGGAUGAAGCUUUUUAUUUAAGCAUUUAACUGUUAAUUAAAAGAUAGCACCUAGUGCCUUCCUUU
RNAcentral lists this transfer RNA (67 nucleotides) under Pleurobranchaea sp. TY-2016. RNAcentral describes it as "tRNA-Asn". The record is from RNAcentral. Lineage: Eukaryota; Metazoa; Mollusca; Gastropoda; Pleurobranchida; Pleurobranchidae.